Rhinichthys klamathensis goyatoka is the source of this 841-nucleotide long non-coding RNA. RefSeq lists it as uncharacterized. NCBI's taxonomy places the organism in Eukaryota, Metazoa, Chordata, Actinopteri, Cypriniformes, Leuciscidae. The record is from RefSeq and is a predicted model, not a curated record. The transcript has 3 exons.
ACCAGAUCCACCAGAUGAGAACAUCGCGUGCAGGUUUCAUAAAGUAAACCUUGCAUCUCCUCUCACGUCCAUGCAUGAACACUGUAAGCAUGCUUUUCAAGGGUGGAAUUCCCCAUCUUGGAAAUUAAACUGCCCGUUCCAAUCCCUGGAUGGCUGAGACGUAACAUUCGAUGGCUGAAUAGUUAAGGACUGCGAGUUUUGAACGGAAAACGCAUCACUGAAGAGAUGCACGGAAGAGUUUGGCUUGCGUCUGCGCUGCUCAGAGAUUUCAGCGUCAUGUUCUUUAACGCAAGACGCACGGGAACCUCUAUUUGUCCCCGACACACGGCCACUCAUAGCUUACUUUCUGACAGAGAGGAAUAUGUACGUCAAUUGUUUGAAGUCAACUUUAUGAGAUGUUCCACAUUUAAAAAGUGUUGACAGGAGGUAGUUGCUGUCUUUGGUUAUCUAGCUGUAUGAGUGUUUAUCUUCCUUCAUAAAGCUAGAUAACCGAAAGUAGAAACGUCCUCCUUAACUGCAUGUGGACAAGUUGAGUGGGAAGCAAUGAUUGCAGGGAAACUGCAUGAGCCUCUCAAACUGCAGUGUCUUUGUGAGAGACCAGAGGACUGGAGCUAAGGGAAAAACGCCAUCUGGUAAGUGCAAUCAAAGCGUAUUACAAUGCAACAUUGCAAUUAGAACAAUUAGUUGUAUAGUAAAUCUGAUUCAAACACACAGUACAUCAUAAAGUAUAUGCUAAUGAAUGCAUGCACUUGAAAGGAGCCAAAUGCAAAUAGUAAUCCUUAAUCAAGUCCAAGACACUAAAUGCAUUACAUGAAUCUUUCAUCAGAAAAUCUAUAUAUCU